RNAcentral lists this long non-coding RNA (674 nucleotides) under Mus musculus (house mouse). RNAcentral describes it as "predicted gene, 16833 (Gm16833)". The record is from RNAcentral. Lineage: Eukaryota; Metazoa; Chordata; Mammalia; Rodentia; Muridae.
AGAAGGGCAACUGGAGGAUCAGGGCUCCCUCAGUGAGACUGGGAAAGCACUAAGACAACUUCAGAACCUUCAAACAAGGUAGUGGGAUCCCAGCAGCUUAAGAGGGAGGGUGUCUAGCAGCAGUGGCCUGGCCUGAAGGAUCCUCCAUACGGAAGACUGUAUUGGUUCCGGAGUGUGAACUCAAGUGGUCAGGCUUGCAUGGCAUGCAUGGUUACCCACCGAGCCAACUCACAAGUUCUGGGAAUUCUUUGACCAAUGUCCUACCACAGGAUUUGCUUCCUGCUAAUUGUUUCUCCCUGCCAUUCCAGAGACUGAGAAGUGGCUAAGGAGUUACAGAGGCAUCAAACUAUCUCAAGAAACUUGUUCAGAAGUGACAAAACAACAAUGGAAAAAGUCAUCCAUGGAAGCUCUGUGAGCAUCAAUGGAAGCCCUGUGAGAAAGAGACUGUAGAGAUGCUCAGUGGUUAAGAGCAUGUGUUGCUCUUGCAGAGGAUUUGGAUUUUGUUCCUACCAACCACAUGGAGCAGCACACAAACAUCUGCAACUCCAGUUCAAGGGAUAUGCUAUGCUGCUCUCUUCUGGCCUCCUAGGGUACCCAUGCAUGUGUACCUGUGUGCAUACACACAUAUACAUAAUACAACAAAUAUUUUUUAAUAAAAGAAUCUUUGUGGAGAC